AUGAAGAAGCUCAAGAAGGAGAGAAAGAAGAUUGAGGCUUUCAUUGGGCAAUAUGUCGAUGAAUCCACUUCAUCUGAGUCCUAUUGCCCAAUGAAAGCCUCAAUCUUCUUUCUCUCCUUCUUGAGCUUCUUCAUGA
RNAcentral lists this microRNA precursor (136 nucleotides) under Oryza rufipogon (brownbeard rice). Its description in RNAcentral is "pre miRNA MIR529". Lineage: Eukaryota; Viridiplantae; Streptophyta; Magnoliopsida; Poales; Poaceae. The record is from RNAcentral.